UGUGAUAGAGUGUGGUCGGAGCCAGAGAUCAUUUCGUGGCCAGGCUCCCAGUGGGACAUCCUCCAAAACCUUGUGGCUAAUACACGUUCGCCCAGGUCGGCCGUGGGAACGUCUGUCUCGACAACCGAGAGUGCGCCUUCGGGUGGCUCCGUCGACCCUCGCAGUCGACGGCCGAUUGCGCCCAGCCGAUCGAAAGAUCAGCGCCCCAUCACAGUCAGGGGCAGCGUUCCUGGUGGCUGACUCAGGCUGGUCCCCCUUCCACAGUCAUAUCUCGUGGGGACGGUCGCUCUGGCAGAGUUUGUGGCGGUGUCCCUUCGCGGACCCGCCUGUGGCAUUGCUUGAUCACACGAACUUCUGACCUAUCAGCUGGGAUUGUGGUGUAGUGGACCACAAUGGCGGUGACGGGUAACGGAGAAUCAGGGUUCGAUUCCGGAGAGGGAGCCUGAGAAAUGGCUACCACUGCCAAGGCGGGCAGCAGGCACGCAAAUUGCCCAAUGGAGAAACACAGUCCGAGGCAGCGACGAACCGUAGCAAUCCUGCUGGGAUUCUUCCCCAGUGGGACUUGGAAUGGAUGCAAUCCAAACACAGUGAUGAGUAUCAACUGGAGGGCAAGUCUGGUGCCAGCAGCUGCGGUAAUUCCAGCUCCAAGCGCGUAUACUAAUGUUGCUGCUGUUAAAACACCUGUAGUC
RNAcentral lists this ribosomal RNA (689 nucleotides) under Euglena cantabrica. Its description in RNAcentral is "SSU rRNA". It matches the Rfam family "Eukaryotic small subunit ribosomal RNA", at positions 120 to 635 of the family's 1831-position model. The record is from RNAcentral. Lineage: Eukaryota; Euglenozoa; Euglenophyceae; Euglenales; Euglenaceae.